Molecule: transfer RNA, 73 nt
Filed under: uncultured beta proteobacterium HF0130_04F21
Lineage: Bacteria; Pseudomonadati; Pseudomonadota; Betaproteobacteria; Nitrosomonadales; Nitrosomonadaceae
Description: tRNA-Ala
Rfam family: tRNA
About the family: Transfer RNA (tRNA) molecules are approximately 80 nucleotides in length. Their secondary structure includes four short double-helical elements and three loops (D, anti-codon, and T loops). Further hydrogen bonds mediate the characteristic L-shaped molecular structure. tRNAs have two regions of fundamental functional importance: the anti-codon, which is responsible for specific mRNA codon recognition, and the 3' end, to which the tRNAs corresponding amino acid is attached (by aminoacyl-tRNA synthetases). tRNAs cope with the degeneracy of the genetic code in two manners: having more than one tRNA (with a specific anti-codon) for a particular amino acid; and 'wobble' base-pairing, i.e. permitting non-standard base-pairing at the 3rd anti-codon position.
Source: RNAcentral
GGGGCUAUAGCUCAGCUGGGAGAGCACCUGCUUUGCAAGCAGGGGGUCAGCGGUUCGAACCCGCUUAGCUCCA